AUUCCAGCUCCAAUAGCGUAUAUUAAAGUUGUUGCAGUUAAAAAGCUCGUAGUUGGAUUUGUGGUGGCGCCUGCGGUCCCAAAUUUUGGGUAUUGUCGGGCGCUGCCAUCCUUGGGUGGAACCUGUGUGGCAUUAGGUUGUCGUGCAGGGGAUGCCCAUCGUUUACUGUGAAAAAAUUAGAGUGUUCAAAGCAGGCUUAUGCCGUUGAAUAUAUUAGCAUGGAAUAAUAAGAUAGGCCUUUGGUACUAUUUUGUUGGUUUGCGCACCAAAGGAAUGAUUAAUAGGGACAGUUGGGGCUCUUCGUAUUCCAUUGUCAGAGGUGAAAUUCUUGGAUUUCUGGAAGACGAACUACUGCGAAAGCAUUGAGCAAGGAUGUUUUC
Molecule: ribosomal RNA, 380 nt
Filed under: Mayamaea permitis
Lineage: Eukaryota; Bacillariophyta; Bacillariophyceae; Sellaphorales; Sellaphoraceae
Description: SSU rRNA
Rfam family: Eukaryotic small subunit ribosomal RNA
Source: RNAcentral